GGAGAGGUGGCCGAGCCCGGUUUAAGGCGCACGCCUGGAGAGCGUGUGUUCUCGAAAGGGAACCGGGGGUUCAAAUCCCCCCCUCUCCGCCA
Molecule: transfer RNA, 92 nt
Filed under: Deltaproteobacteria bacterium
Lineage: Bacteria; Pseudomonadati; Myxococcota; Myxococcia
Also listed under: 1 other name
Description: tRNA-Ser
Rfam family: tRNA
About the family: Transfer RNA (tRNA) molecules are approximately 80 nucleotides in length. Their secondary structure includes four short double-helical elements and three loops (D, anti-codon, and T loops). Further hydrogen bonds mediate the characteristic L-shaped molecular structure. tRNAs have two regions of fundamental functional importance: the anti-codon, which is responsible for specific mRNA codon recognition, and the 3' end, to which the tRNAs corresponding amino acid is attached (by aminoacyl-tRNA synthetases). tRNAs cope with the degeneracy of the genetic code in two manners: having more than one tRNA (with a specific anti-codon) for a particular amino acid; and 'wobble' base-pairing, i.e. permitting non-standard base-pairing at the 3rd anti-codon position.
Source: RNAcentral